UGUAAGCCUUACACUUCCUUUCUCAUGGCCGUGGUCUGCUGCACGUAGAUAAGGCAGUCUGCAAAAAUGAAACUGCCACUUAUCCACGGCCUCUCGCAACUCCAGCCACGGGAGUGAGAAACAGGCGCAGGCCUUUCGGCGCUGAACAGGAAGGUGGAAUUUGUCACAGCAGCAGGAAGCCAUCAGCUGACGAGCUAGUUUGCAGAGCAGUCUCCCCGCAUCCCUGCUGCCCCGUCUUUGAACGAGAGCCAUUCAGAAGGACAUUCAAGGGUUCAAGUGCCAAGUGCUCUGGAAAUAUGUGGUCAUCUGUUAUUGAAACAGAAAUUGCUGCUGAGCGACCCAAGCGUUUGGAACGAGGAUAUCAACGUGGGCUGCAUUAUGGGAGAGACCAAAGUGGAAAACAAAAGCAGCUAACUUGAUAAGGAUCUACCCUGUGGAAUUCCACUUAAAUGGAAUAGCAGUCUUCGUGGCGAUGAUUGAUAAAUGAAGUGUUGUAGAAAUUUUAGACAUUACUAUUUAAAAUAUUUGCCUGAGAUUUCUAAAACCCUGAGACAAAACUACUAUAAAUAUUUGUCUCUACAUUAUGCUCCUAGUAUCAAUCAAAAAGCCUACUCUAGAUUGUAGGUGUAAUUUAAAUGAAAUUGCAAUCCUGUAGAUUAUGUAUCAAGAAAUGGAAAUUCAGGGGUCUAAACUAAUUCAAAUUGAACUUCAAAUGUUUUAUACAUGUGAACAGUAGUAUGUGGUUCAUAUCUGAUGUAUCUACUGGAAAGAGUAAUCUAAGAAUGUAGGUAAAUAAUGCUUACAAAUGUAGGGCAAGAGUUAAAAAUUCCAAAACACCAAAUUAAACAAAAAAGGAAAACAAAAUUCCUUUCAGGAAAGCCUUACUAACCAAAUAUAAUCGAAUCAUCUAGAAUGACAAGAGUUUCAAUUUCUUACAUAACAGUUUGCACAGAGAUUAAAUUGAAGGAUUUUAUGCACUAAACUAACAGUAAUAAUAAUUACAGCACCAUUAAAAUUGUGAAAUUAAAAUAGAUGCUUCUUUGAAAAUAAUUCUUCAAUUUAAAUUAGAAUGUCAAUGGAGAAAUCUCAUUUUUAUGCUACCAUAACUUUGGGCUCUGGUUUGGCCUUUUUUAUACCAUUUUUAUUGGUGUAAUAAAUAAUAAUGAUAAUAAUGUUUCUUCAUCUCACCUAGUUCAUCUAGUUCAUUUUAUAUAUAUAUUUAUAGAAUGUUUCCACUAUUAACUGAGUUAAGUACAAAUCUGUCAAGGUGUACCCAAAAUCCUCAGAAUUUUUUUUAUCUGAAUUCUCUGGGAGAAUUGAUUCUGAGUUCUUCAGAAAUUUUCAGAAGUGCAGUAAACAUCAGAUGUAAUGAAUGCCAAGAAUACAAUCGCGAUCUAUGACCUGAUGUCCAAAUCUUUACACAUCACUGGAGUAGAAAUGGAUUUAGCAACUGUGCAAAAUUGUAUAUUCAAUAAUAACUUCAUUCUGAAUAAAUUGCUAAUCUGAAGCCCA
This is a long non-coding RNA of Mesocricetus auratus (golden hamster), 1512 nucleotides long. RefSeq lists it as uncharacterized. The record is from RefSeq and is a predicted model, not a curated record. The transcript is spliced from 3 exons. NCBI's taxonomy places the organism in Eukaryota, Metazoa, Chordata, Mammalia, Rodentia, Cricetidae.